CCUACGGGAGGCAGCAGUGAGGAAUAUUGGUCAAUGGACGAGAGUCUGAACCAGCCAAGUAGCGUGAAGGAUGACUGCCCUAUGGGUUGUAAACUUCUUUUAUAAAGGAAUAAAACGAGGCACGUGUGCCUUUUUGCAUGUACUUUAUGAAUAAGGAUCGGCAAACUCCGUGCCAGCAGCCGCGGUACUACGGAGGAUCCGAGCGUUAUCCGGAUUUAUUGGGUUUAAAGGGGGCGUAGGCGGAGUUUUAAGUCAGCGGUAAAAUGUCGGGGUUCAACCCGGGCCGGCCGUUGAAACUGGGGAGCUUGAGUGGACGAGAGGUAUGCGGAAUGCGUGGUGUAGCGGUGAAAUGCAUAGAUAUCACGCAGAACUCCGAUUGCGAAGGCAGCAUACCGGCGCCCGACUGACGUUGAGGCACGAAAGCGUGGGGAUCGAACAGGAUUAGAUACCCCUGUAGUC
RNAcentral lists this ribosomal RNA (459 nucleotides) under uncultured bacterium. RNAcentral describes it as "partial 16S ribosomal RNA". It matches the Rfam family "Bacterial small subunit ribosomal RNA", at positions 338 to 795 of the family's 1533-position model. The record is from RNAcentral.